UACGGAGGGUGCGAGCGUUGUCCGGAUUUAUUGGGUUUAAAGGGUGCGUAGGCGGUUUGGCAAGUCUUGUGUGAAAUCUUUGGGCUCAACCCAAAGUCUGCAUAAGAAACUGCCGGGCUUGAGUAUGGGAGAGGUGAGUGGAAUUUCCGGUGUAGCGGUGAAAUGCGUAGAUAUCGGAAGGAACACCUGUGGCGAAAGCGGCUCACUGGACCAUUACUGACGCUGAGGCACGAAAGCUAGGGGAGCAAACAGG
This 253-nucleotide ribosomal RNA is filed under the name uncultured bacterium. RNAcentral describes it as "partial 16S ribosomal RNA". It matches the Rfam family "Bacterial small subunit ribosomal RNA", at positions 524 to 776 of the family's 1533-position model. The record is from RNAcentral.